AUUGUUGAUGUUAUUUGAACAGACCUGUCGCUGUGUCAGUCUGAAUGGGAGAUUAGAGACCGACACAUGUUUGUUGCUGCUCCAUGUUCUCUGCAACAUUGUGUGUAGUUACUGCAGCUGUGUGUGCAUUCUGCUGGCAGGAACAGGAAACAAGUGAAAGAAAACUGGCGAGCACCCUGGAAGGAAAACUUAAUCGGACAUAACAAGUUAAAACAGUUUGCAAGUUUCAAGCCAAACUGCUGAAUCUACCGUCCAGAGCUGGGAUGCUCGUCUUCUGAUGGAGCGCUCUCGAGCUGUGAUGGGUCCAGAUAUCAGCGCUCACCUGGCUGGUACCAAGAAGGUUCAGCAAGUGCUCGCCAGACCUGGAGUCCUGGAGAGGUUCUUCCCGGACCAGCCUCAAGCUGUGCAGCAGAUCUGAGCGACAUUGGCUGACCUCUACACUCCAGACAUGGGUGCAGAGAGGGACAAAACAGUAUCAAUGGCCUUGGCAGCAGCAGAACGGUUGGUCUUGAAGCCUCAGCGAGAAGGAGGAGGAGCAGGAACAUUAGAAGCUGCUGUAGUAACUGCUGCUGUUCUCCUGCCUGUCAUAUUCUUCUCUGUCUUCCUGUGGAUUCAGUGAGCAGAUUUGUUACAUUAUUGUUUGGGAGAUAAACUUUGAUUUUAACAGUUUAUGAAUGUCAUUAUUUUGUUCAACAUUAAUUGUCCCAACCAGAAAAAAGAGGAUGUCCAAGGAACCUGUUAAAUCUGAAGACAGAGCCAACAACUGUCAGGGUCCUGGGUCCCCUGACCCAGCAUGUUUAAUUCUUUAUGAUUUUUGUAGUAUUGUUCUUGUGAGUUGUAUCGUUUCUAGUUUCGAUCCCUUGCCCUUCGUGUUUCUCUGUGUCCCCUCUGUUCUGUGUGGUCUGUCUGCAUGUUGAGUUUCCCUCUGUGUCUUUCGGUUCUUAGAGUCCUCUGUCUUAUGGUUUAUGUCUCUGUGUUUCUUAGUUGCUGUCUCCACUGUGCCAAGUUCGUGUCUCUGUGUCAUACUUCCUGUUUUACUUUGAAGGUCCGUGUCUUAUGUGAAUGUGUCCUGCUUUGCUUCCUUGUCUCGUCAGUCCUGAUUUCUCCCAGCUGUGCUCUCCUUCUGUGUCUCAUUCCCCUCGUUACUUCCCAGUGUAUUUAAACCCUGUGUUUCUCUGAGUCAGUGUCGCGUCGUCCCUCAUGCUGUGUGUGAUUCUCCCCGUGUCUCCUGGUAUGCGUUAUGAUUAGUUUUUCCCAGUUUAGUUUUGCAUUGCUUGUGUUCUGUUCUCCAGCAAUAAAGCUGUGCUUUUGAGUUCAAGUUCUGUCCCCUUGAGUUUGCGUUUGGGUCCAAUCCCUGCCUGCCACACAGCGAAACAUGACAACAACAGAGGACAGUGUUUACCUGAUCAGAGACAGCCAGAGGAGCAGGAUGAUCUUCAGUAUACCAGCAUCCACUUCUCCAACAACCAGGCAGAUCCUCUCUACUCCAACAUCAGAGCAGCUCAGCCUCACAGACACAUGCAGGAACAGGAAGUUACUGAGUCACUGCU
This is a long non-coding RNA of Oreochromis niloticus (Nile tilapia), 1550 nucleotides long. RefSeq lists it as uncharacterized. The record is from RefSeq and is a predicted model, not a curated record. Lineage: Eukaryota; Metazoa; Chordata; Actinopteri; Cichliformes; Cichlidae. The transcript has 5 exons.